GUCACGUUAUUACUCGUCUUCCGCUACAUGCUCGCGCUAAACUAAUUUACAGGUUUAAACGACGUAGGUUGACGAUCAUCUUCAUCAUCAUUAUUAAGAAACUCUGUCCAUCCAGAAAUCCUGGUGUUUCCUGGAGGACAUACCCUCACUCCAUCCAGAAUGAAUCCGCUACACCUGUGUGUGAAAAGGUCACCUGACCACCCGUUGGCGAGUCAAGACCGAUCCCGCUGCCACACCAGAUUAUAGACAGACACUGCGGCCCCACCACAGUGUACAAGGCAGAGGUCAUGAUGGCGUCACUGUGGGAUCAGACUCAACGGGAGAGGAUGAUACCCUCAAUAAACCCGUCCAGGUGAAAGUUGUAAAAAUCCCGGGAAUGCUACAGCAGUGUGUUACGAGAACCAUCAGAGACAGAGAAAACCCUUUACGGGAGAAGCACGGAUCCAGAGCAGGUGCUCCGGGAGAUCCGGGAUCGUGCUAUCCUCGGGGCCCGUCAGCGGAUACGAGCCCUGGGCUGUGAAACCCAAUCAGGACGUCCUGGACAGAUGUGAUGGGUUAAAGUAGACAGGGUCACUGGUCCAUUACAAAAUAUGCACAUCUGUGAGAGUCGUCCAGUGAUGCAUCUAUUUGAUCAUCUAAAAUCAUUUGUCAUAAAAGGCACAACCUCAUUAUCUUGGCAGUUUAUUGUUUGAUUAGCAUAGCAUGUGGCAUAACAGCAGCAUAGCGUGUAGUCUCACUGUUUAAUCUCUAAUGACACACACCUGAGCAUCAAACAUACAGUUUAGGAUGCUCAAAUUGGUGUAAUGUUUAACUGGAAAAAGAAAGCAAAUGUUAUUUAGUUCAUUUAAAGUAUGUAGGAUGAAUGAGUUCUAGUUCUAGAAAUCCCUGUGCUGUUUGCAGUGUCCUUGGGAUUAAACAUACACUCCCCAUCAAUUGGAAGCUCACUUAAGAUGGCUGAAUACCCCGUGAAACCCAUUUUGUUGGCUCUAUCGAACCCCUUCUCUGAGAAACAGCUG
Molecule: long non-coding RNA, 1016 nt
Organism: Cyprinus carpio carpio
Lineage: Eukaryota; Metazoa; Chordata; Actinopteri; Cypriniformes; Cyprinidae
Source: Ensembl